AUGUACGCACUUAUUAAUUAUAUUUCUAUCUUCUUUCGCAGGCGUUUAAUCCACGAUAUUCUCUCAAAAAUGGACAAAAAAGCGAAACUCAAAGAAGGCUUUGAUGGACGAUUAAGUUUAUAUUCGGCGCACAGUAGCACAGUGCAAAGUCUAUGGAGAGGGCUGAACGUCAGUCAAGAUAUGCCAAGGCCUGAUUACGGGGCAGCAAUUAUCGUAGAGCUCCAUGAAAUUAAAGAUAAGUUUAGAGUAAAGAUUGCCGUUGUCUUGGCCUUGUGCGCCGUCUUCGCCUACGGAGAGGAGUCCACCGAGCUGAGCCGUGAAAAGCGUUACGCCGUUGCCACCGCCGCCGCCUUUGCUCCGGCACCCGCCUUCGCCCCGGCACCCGUCUUCGCCCCGGCACCCGCCUUUGCUCCAGCACCCGCCUUCGCCCCAGCACCCGCCUUUGCUCCAGCCUACGCCCCCGCCUAUGUUCAUCACGCCUUCGCCCCAGCCCCCGCCUUCAACCCGGCACCCGCCUUCGCCCCGGCACCCGCCUUCGCCCGAGCCCCCGCCUUGCCCCGGUUCCCGCCUUCGCCCCCGUGGCUGCCCCCCGCAGUAAGGUCGUUCACUCCGUGCCCGGCGCCCACGCCGAAUACGUUUCCUUCGCCUAAGGGAUUCACUUAAAUUGAGUGGUCUGCAUUUUUAAGGGGGCAUUUAAGGGAUUGAGACCAUUUAUUGGCACUUCAAAGUUCCGUGAUUGGGUCACAAGGUAUUAUUACGAUGAAACUGAAGUCAUCGCAAAAAAAGGGCUUUAAAUAUUUCUAGUUUCGUGUAAUUUGACGAGUUUUGAAUCAAAUUCCUUCGGUCUCUCUUAAAUCGACUUUUCAAGGUGUCAAAAUUUGUUCAUUGUCUGUUGAGGUUUCAGUUUUGCUUGGUUUUCAGAAAUUGGCUUUAUUUACGUGUGUUUUAGCUGUAUUUUAGAAAUUGUCUCGAAAUGAAAAUGAGACGUUAAAAAACAGCUUAUCCGCUACAGAGGAGGAUCCAGCAAUGUGGCAACAUCGAAUUGCCUCCAUUUAAACCUUUUCUAAAUACUCGAUUCUUGUCGAAGCACCUAGCCCCUCCAAGAAAUAGAUACGCUUCCAUUGAUUUAAAUGGAGAGAAGACAAUUUUGCCAAUUUGCUGGGUCCGCCAAUCCGCUGAGACCAGUACUUCUCCAAAAAUCAUUGAUUAGCACAAUGGUCACUAUUUUCAACCUGAGAGUUUCAUCAACAUUUAUAAACUAAAGUGAUUUCUAAACAUAAAUCAUUCAUUGACUAUCCAGUUUUGCCGGAACUUUUUGAUAUAAAAGUAUGGUUUUAAGGUCAUUUUUGAGAUUACUCAGAGGCUUAUAUGUACAUGACUUGGAUUGCAUUUUGCAAAAAGGAACCACUAGCAUUGCAAUGUUGCUAAGAUUGUGCAACUUCUUUUGUCUUGGAGGAAAUACCCGAUUAUCCAUUAAUAGUUUCCAUUUUACUCGCUAAAAACUGAAAAUUUAAGACAAAAAUUACCAUCUAAAUUUCAUAGUUUCUCACGAUUUCCGCUAUUUUAUUGCAGAGGAUAAAGUUGCACAAUCUUAGCAUCAUUGCAAUGCUAGUGGUUCCUUUUGCAAAAUGCAAUCCACUUGUGUUACAGCUGCAAAAACUGAAAUUCACUGUACAAAAAGAAAUAUUAUUUCAUCUUGCCAACAAAGACAUCAUUCUCACCGGCAAAUAUAAUGGCCCCAAAGAGAACACUCAUUUUUUGUACUUAAAACGUAUUACUUAAACUUUGAAAAUUCAUUGUUUUCUAAUAUCGCCUGUGAUUUAAUACGAAGUUAUAUUUAUUGUACACAUAGUUUUUUUUUAACAUAUGUUACCCUGUCAGUAGAAGUAUUUUUUGUUGAAAUAAACAUGUUUUCAGUUUUCCAUAAGAGCAACGUUUUUUUUUCUUGAUCUAUAGGUCUUGAACUUUGUAAAGGUACCUUUCGUCCUUGUUUUAAAACAAGCUAUACUUACAAUACUUACAUACAUUCCUUUGAACUUUAUUUUUUGCCCACAGAGACGCUAAAUUAUUGUAUUUUCUUCUUCUUCAAAGGUGCAGUCAUUAAUUUUUGGUUUUGACGGAUUGGUCUUU
RNAcentral lists this long non-coding RNA (2130 nucleotides) under Bemisia tabaci. Its description in RNAcentral is "lncRNA ENSSWEETPG002950". Lineage: Eukaryota; Metazoa; Arthropoda; Insecta; Hemiptera; Aleyrodidae. The record is from RNAcentral.